Molecule: small nucleolar RNA, 72 nt
Organism: Python bivittatus (Burmese python)
Lineage: Eukaryota; Metazoa; Chordata; Lepidosauria; Squamata; Pythonidae
Product: small nucleolar RNA SNORD113/SNORD114 family
Source: RefSeq, a predicted model, not a curated record
UGGAUUUUGUGAUAACUUCUGGAGGCAUCUCGGUCAUUUAUUGUGGCUUCACUUCUGGGAAUUGAAGUCCAU